Danio aesculapii is the source of this 316-nucleotide long non-coding RNA. RefSeq lists it as uncharacterized. NCBI's taxonomy places the organism in Eukaryota, Metazoa, Chordata, Actinopteri, Cypriniformes, Danionidae. The record is from RefSeq and is a predicted model, not a curated record. The transcript has 3 exons.
UCCUCCAUCUACACUUUUCGAAGAGUGGAUAAAAGACUUCCAUUGGCUUCAAGUCCGCUAUGAAAAUAACUAAAGCAUUCAGUGUAAAGUCUGUGGGACGGAAUUUUCAGAACCAUUCUGUGCUGGACUCAAACCCAUAACAGUCAACUCCACUCUUCAUCUCAAAUCCUGCGUAUACGACGAGCCACCGGGCGAACUGGUAACAGUGUAAAAGCCGUCCAAAUGGAGGUAAACGGUCAGCUGAGUCGAGCUCUAACCCAAAUCAAGCACACCCGAAACAGCAAACCGUCUGCUUAAGACUGACUACAAACUAAGU